RNAcentral lists this ribosomal RNA (1931 nucleotides) under Salmonella enterica. RNAcentral describes it as "partial 23S ribosomal RNA". It matches the Rfam family "Bacterial large subunit ribosomal RNA", at positions 711 to 2623 of the family's 2925-position model. Lineage: Bacteria; Pseudomonadati; Pseudomonadota; Gammaproteobacteria; Enterobacterales; Enterobacteriaceae. RNAcentral also lists the same sequence under 1 other name. The record is from RNAcentral.
AGACCCGAAACCCGGUGAUCUAGCCAUGGGCAGGUUGAAGGUUGGGUAACACUAACUGGAGGACCGAACCGACUAAUGUUGAAAAAUUAGCGGAUGACCUGUGGCUGGGGGUGAAAGGCCAAUCAAACCGGGAGAUAGCUGGUUCUCCCCGAAAGCUAUUUAGGUAGCGCCUCGUGAAUUCAUCUCCGGGGGUAGAGCACUGUUUCGGCUAGGGGGCCAUCCCGGCUUACCAACCCGAUGCAAACUGCGAAUACCGGAGAAUGUUAUCACGGGAGACACACGGCGGGUGCUAACGUCCGUCGUGAAGAGGGAAACAACCCAGACCGCCAGCUAAGGUCCCAAAGUCAUGGUUAAGUGGGAAACGAUGUGGGAAGGCCCAGACAGCCAGGAUGUUGGCUUAGAAGCAGCCAUCAUUUAAAGAAAGCGUAAUAGCUCACUGGUCGAGUCGGCCUGCGCGGAAGAUGUAACGGGGCUAAACCAUGCACCGAAGCUGCGGCAGCGACACUGUGUGUUGUUGGGUAGGGGAGCGUUCUGUAAGCCUGUGAAGGUGUGUCGUGAGGCAUGCUGGAGGUAUCAGAAGUGCGAAUGCUGACAUAAGUAACGAUAAAGCGGGUGAAAAGCCCGCUCGCCGGAAGACCAAGGGUUCCUGUCCAACGUUAAUCGGGGCAGGGUGAGUCGACCCCUAAGGCGAGGCCGAAAGGCGUAGUCGAUGGGAAACGGGUUAAUAUUCCCGUACUUGGUGUUACUGCGAAGGGGGGACGGAGAAGGCUAUGUUGGCCGGGCGACGGUUGUCCCGGUUUAAGCGUGUAGGUGUGUGUUCCAGGUAAAUCCGGUUCACUUUAACACUGAGGCGUGACGACGAGGCACUACGGUGCUGAAGCAACAAAUGCCCUGCUUCCAGGAAAAGCCUCUAAGCAUCAGGUAACAUCAAAUCGUACCCCAAACCGACACAGGUGGUCAGGUAGAGAAUACCAAGGCGCUUGAGAGAACUCGGGUGAAGGAACUAGGCAAAAUGGUGCCGUAACUUCGGGAGAAGGCACGCUGACACGUAGGUGAAGUGAUUUACUCAUGGAGCUGAAGUCAGUCGAAGAUACCAGCUGGCUGCAACUGUUUAUUAAAAACACAGCACUGUGCAAACACGAAAGUGGACGUAUACGGUGUGACGCCUGCCCGGUGCCGGAAGGUUAAUUGAUGGGGUCAGCGCAAGCGAAGCUCCUGAUCGAAGCCCCGGUAAACGGCGGCCGUAACUAUAACGGUCCUAAGGUAGCGAAAUUCCUUGUCGGGUAAGUUCCGACCUGCACGAAUGGCGUAAUGAUGGCCAGGCUGUCUCCACCCGAGACUCAGUGAAAUUGAACUCGCUGUGAAGAUGCAGUGUACCCGCGGCAAGACGGAAAGACCCCGUGAACCUUUACUAUAGCUUGACACUGAACAUUGAGCCUUGAUGUGUAGGAUAGGUGGGAGGCUUUGAAGUGUGGACGCCAGUCUGCAUGGAGCCGACCUUGAAAUACCACCCUUUAAUGUUUGAUGUUCUAACGUGGACCCGUUACCCGGGUUGCGGACAGUGUCUGGUGGGUAGUUUGACUGGGGCGGUCUCCUCCUAAAGAGUAACGGAGGAGCACGAAGGUUGGCUAAUCCUGGUCGGACAUCAGGAGGUUAGUGCAAUGGCAUAAGCCAGCUUGACUGCGAGCGUGACGGCGCGAGCAGGUGCGAAAGCAGGUCAUAGUGAUCCGGUGGUUCUGAAUGGAAGGGCCAUCGCUCAACGGAUAAAAGGUACUCCGGGGAUAACAGGCUGAUACCGCCCAAGAGUUCAUAUCGACGGCGGUGUUUGGCACCUCGAUGUCGGCUCAUCACAUCCUGGGGCUGAAGUAGGUCCCAAGGGUAUGGCUGUUCGCCAUUUAAAGUGGUACGCGAGCUGGGUUUAGAACGUCGUG